AGAAUCAACGCUGGCGGCGUGCCUAACACAUGCAAGUCGAACGCGGCUUUUCCCGCAAGGGAAAAGCUGAGUGGCAAACGGGUGAGUAACACGUGGGUGACCUGCCUUCGAGUGGGGGAUAACGUCUCGAAAGGGACGCUAAUACCGCAUAACAUCCUGUCUUUUAAGAGAUGGACAUCAAAGCCUGGGACCGCAAGGCCAGGCGCUUGAAGAGGGGCCCGCGUCUGAUUAGCUAGUUGGUGGGGUAAUGGCUCACCAAGGCAACGAUCAGUA
Molecule: ribosomal RNA, 273 nt
Filed under: uncultured bacterium
Lineage: Bacteria
Description: partial small subunit ribosomal RNA
Rfam family: Bacterial small subunit ribosomal RNA
Source: RNAcentral